GAUGAACGCUGGCGGCGUGCCUAAUACAUGCAAGUCGAGCGAACGGACGAGAAGCUUGCUUCUCUGAUGUUAGCGGCGGACGGGUGAGUAACACGUGGAUAACCUACCUAUAAGACUGGGAUAACUUCGGGAAACCGGAGCUAAUACCGGAUGAUAUUUUGAACCGCAUGGUUCAAAAGUGAAAGACGGUCUUGCUGUCACUAUAGAUGGAUCCGCGCUGCAUUAGCUAGUUGGUAAGGUAACGGCUUACCAAGGCAACGAUGCAUAGCCGACCUGAGAGGGUGAUCGGCCACACUGGAACUGAGACACGGUCCAGACUCCUACGGGAGGCAGCAGUAGGGAAUCUUCCGCAAUGGGCGAAAGCCUGACGGAGCAACGCCGCGUGAGUGAUGAAGGUCUUCGGAUCGUAAAACUCUGUUAUUAGGGAAGAACAUAUGUGUAAGUAACUGUGCACAUCUUGACGGUACCUAAUCAGAAAGCCACGGCUAACUACGUG
This 496-nucleotide ribosomal RNA is filed under the name uncultured bacterium. Its description in RNAcentral is "partial 16S ribosomal RNA". It matches the Rfam family "Bacterial small subunit ribosomal RNA", at positions 28 to 507 of the family's 1533-position model. The record is from RNAcentral.